ACGGCUCAGUAACACGUGGACAACCUACCCUUGGGUCUGGCAUAAUCCUGGGAAACUGGGUAUAAUUCCGGAUAGGUCACAGAUGCUGGAAUGCACUGUGGCCGAAAGCUCCGGCGCCCAAGGAUGGGUCUGCGGCCUAUCAGGGUUGUAGUGGGUGUAACGGACCUACUAGCCUACGACGGGUACGGGUUGUGAGAGCAAGAGCCCGGAGAUGGAUUCUGAGACACGAAUCCAGGCCCUACGGGGUGCAGCAGGCGCGAAAACUUUACAAUGCGGGAAACCGUGAUAAGGGAAUCUCGAGUGCCAGCAUAUAAUGUUGGCUGUCCAGAUGCCUAAAAAGCAUCUGUUAGCAAGGGCCGGGCAAGACCGGUGCCAGCCGCCGCGGUAACACCGGCGGCCCGAGUGGUAACCGCUUUUAUUGGGUCUAAAGGGUCUGUAGCCGGCCAAGUAAGUCCCUUGGGAAAUCUGGCAGCUUAACUGUCAGGCUGCUAGGGGAUACUGCUAGGCUUGGGACCGGGAGAGGUGAGAGGUACCUUGGGGGUAGGGGUGAAAUCUUGUGAUCCUCGGGGGACCACCAGUGGCGAAGGCGUCUCACCAGAACGGGUCCGACGGUAAGGGACGGAAGCUAGGGGCACGAACCGGAUUAGAUACCCGGGUAGUCCUAGCCGUAAACGAUGCUCGCUAGGUGUCAGUCACGGUGCGACCGUGAUUGGUGCCGUAGGGAAGCCGUGAAGCGAGCCACCUGGGAAGUAUGGCCGCAAGGCUGAAACUUAAAGGAAUUGGCGGGGGAGCAC
Molecule: ribosomal RNA, 794 nt
Filed under: uncultured Methanosaeta sp.
Lineage: Archaea; Methanobacteriati; Methanobacteriota; Methanomicrobia; Methanotrichales; Methanotrichaceae
Description: bacterial SSU rRNA
Rfam family: Archaeal small subunit ribosomal RNA
Source: RNAcentral